Molecule: small nucleolar RNA, 126 nt
Organism: Apodemus sylvaticus (European woodmouse)
Lineage: Eukaryota; Metazoa; Chordata; Mammalia; Rodentia; Muridae
Product: small nucleolar RNA SNORA17
Exons: 1
Source: RefSeq, a predicted model, not a curated record
CCUGCCUCUAGAGGCACUGCAGGUAUGGCUGCUCUGUGAUGUGUGCAUCAGUUGGUGGAAGACAGGAGAGAGGCUAUGUCUAUGCUAGUGACCUAUGACCAUCUGAAUUAUUAGUAGCCCAUCAUU